UCUGUAUAAAUCAAAUAAUGCAUCAGACCCAAUUGGAAUCCGAUCCAUUCUAAAAUAAAACAACAAAAAAUAAAAAGAAAACUUAAAAGACUAAAUCAACAGGAUAGGAAAAGUGAGGUUCAGCUAGCUCUCGAAGCUUCCAUGGAUGUUGGGUUGCUGUUCCAACCUCGACUGCAAAUUCCAGGUUCUAUCUAAAUACAUCCCAUAAUCUCUCACCGGGUGUUAUGUUAAUUGAUCCCAUUUGAAGAUUUUUUUAAGAUAUGGAUUUGUAAAGUCAAUUUAAUCUUCCAAGUUUUAUCCUUAGGGGUGAAAGGCAUUGAAGGAAGUGCAGGGAACUCAGAAGAAAGAGAUAGGAGCUGGCCAGUUGAUGAAUUCGAUUGACCAGUGGCCGGGUUAACCAUAGUCAGACUAUGGAUUGGUGGUGAGGGUUCGCAUGAAAGAGAAGAGAAAAUUUAUUUUACCUUGUAUAAGUGAAAAACUUAAACAUUUAUGUAAUGAAAUAGUAAAAUAAUAAUUUCUCCUUUUUUAUUUA
Molecule: long non-coding RNA, 532 nt
Organism: Capsicum annuum
Lineage: Eukaryota; Viridiplantae; Streptophyta; Magnoliopsida; Solanales; Solanaceae
Exons: 3
Source: RefSeq, a predicted model, not a curated record